CGCGCCCACGUGCCCUCCCGCCACCCCCGGCCCACUCGUUUUCCGCCUACAUCUUGUGCAAAUUUAAUAUCAUAAGGCAUCCUGUUUCCGCUUGAACCGGAGCGCGGGCGCGGGCGCGGGCAUGACCUCGCGCGGCAAGGUCGCAGGUCGCGGCCAGUUCGGGGCUUUCGACGUCGCCUGGAGGUCUUGUAUACUCACACUAUGUCUACAUAACAUCACUCUACCAGACACAUAACACGUGUACAAACCUUAAUAAAUUAAACCAUUUAUUCUUUCCUAAAGUAACCCUGUAGAAUUAUUGAUUAACAUAAUUUGUCUGAACGUCACUACAAUUAGACAGAGUUUGAUUUGUUGGUAUUAAAUUUUAGAUGUAGUGGUAACUUAAUCUACUUUGUGACUUAAUUAAGCGUUCUUUAGUCGUUAAAGCGCCAAUAGUCUUAACCUAAAAACUAAGAUAGGGUCAUACGACAAAGUAGUUGUGGGUCCGAAAUCCGCUAAUCAAUUGUCGGAAACCUUAGUAGCUUAGACAUAAGUUGAAAUAGUUCAGAGAAUCAUUAGUAAAUUUCAAAUAAAUGUACUAUUUUAUAUUAAAAAAAAUAAAAAAAAUUACGUUGUAGUAUAUUCCAGGUGUGUAAAAAAUUAAGUAAACGUUACAAAACAACUAGCAACAUGGCUAGCUGUUAAAUGCUAUCAGCAGAUACUAAAAUUUAUCUCAGUGCUAUAAAAAUAAUGUGCUCUUGAGGUGAUAUUCAAACGUUCAGAGAAAACAUACCUACAAUGCACAUUAAGUUGCAAAUAAGGUAAAUAAAAUAUACAUACUUUGUCUAUUCAAAAUAAACAUAUUAUGUUAUCAUGUCUUUGUGCGAUGUCCUCUAAUAUGUAGGUAUACAAAGGAGAUUUUUUUACAUUGAAUUAGGUCUUUUGAAGACAGAAACGUAUUUACCUGUUUUCUUGAAAAUACUACAAUGGGAAUUUGGGAAAUUUUUGGCAAUGGAAAGCUAACGUUUCGUCAAAAAGCUGAUAAAGCAUACAACAUCUAGCUUUAUCUAAAGAGGAACUUAAUAAAUAUCACGUGCAAUAAAGUCACGGGGGUUUGACCCCUGACAUUUUGUGUAGGAGGGAGCAGAUGGCAUGUGCAAGGAUCUGGAUGGAGGGUGCUGUACGUUGGUGUGGGGUGUCCGGGAUGAGGGCGGGGAUCGCGGGGUGCAGGCGGGCGCAGGGCGAUGCACCGACAACGGCACGAGUCAAGUGCAGGG
Papilio xuthus (Asian swallowtail) is the source of this 1256-nucleotide RNA transcript. RefSeq lists it as uncharacterized. The record is from RefSeq and is a predicted model, not a curated record. NCBI's taxonomy places the organism in Eukaryota, Metazoa, Arthropoda, Insecta, Lepidoptera, Papilionidae. The transcript has 2 exons.